Molecule: ribosomal RNA, 796 nt
Filed under: uncultured bacterium
Lineage: Bacteria
Description: bacterial SSU rRNA
Rfam family: Bacterial small subunit ribosomal RNA
Source: RNAcentral
CGAAUUCGCCCUUAGAGUUUGAUCCUGGCUCAGGACGAACGCUGGCGGCGUGCUUAACACAUGCAAGUCGAACGGAAAGGCCCUGCUUUUGUGGGGUGCUCGAGUGGCGAACGGGUGAGUAACACGUGAGUAACCUGCCCUUGACUUUGGGAUAACUUCAGGAAACUGGGGCUAAUACCGGAUAGGAGCUCCUGCUGCAUGGUGGGGGUUGGAAAGUUUCGGCGGUUGGGGAUGGACUCGCGGCUUAUCAGCUUGUUGGUGGGGUAGUGGCUUACCAAGGCUUUGACGGGUAGCCGGCCUGAGAGGGUGACCGGCCACAUUGGGACUGAGAUACGGCCCAGACUCCUACGGGAGGCAGCAGUGGGGAAUAUUGCACAAUGGGCGGAAGCCUGAUGCAGCAACGCCGCGUGCGGGAUGACGGCCUUCGGGUUGUAAACCGCUUUCGCCUGUGACGAAGCGUGAGUGACGGUAAUGGGUAAAGAAGCACCGGCUAACUACGUGCCAGCAGCCGCGGUGAUACGUAGGGUGCGAGCGUUGUCCGGAUUUAUUGGGCGUAAAGGGCUCGUAGGUGGUUGAUCGCGUCGGAAGUGUAAUCUUGGGGCUUAACCCUGAGCGUGCUUUCGAUACGGGUUGACUUGAGGAAGGUAGGGGAGAAUGGAAUUCCUGGUGGAGCGGUGGAAUGCGCAGAUAUCAGGAGGAACACCAGUGGCGAAGGCGGUUCUCUGGGCCUUUCCUGACGCUGAGGAGCGAAAGCGUGGGGAGCGAACAGGCUUAGAUACCCUGGUAGUCAAGGGCG